RNAcentral lists this ribosomal RNA (625 nucleotides) under uncultured bacterium. RNAcentral's name for it is "bacterial LSU rRNA". It matches the Rfam family "Bacterial large subunit ribosomal RNA", at positions 497 to 1119 of the family's 2925-position model. The record is from RNAcentral.
AGUACCGUGAGGGAAAGGUGAAAAGCACCCCGAUGAGGGGAGUGAAACAGUACCUGAAACCGAACGCCUACAAGCAGUAGGAGGGCCCUUGAGGCCUGACUGCGUACCUCUUGCAUAAUGGGUCAGUGACUUAGUGUAACAAGCAAGCUUAAGCCGUUAGGUGUAGGCGCAGCGAAAGCGAGUCUGAAUAGGGCGACUGAGUUUGUUGCAUUAGACCCGAAACCCCGGUGAUCUAGGCAUGACCAGGUUGAAGGGUGCGGUAACACCCACUGGAGGACCGAACCCGUUCCAAUGUUGAAAAAUUGUCGGAUGAGUUGUGUUUAGGGGUGAAAGGCCAAUCAAACCGGGAAAUAGCUGGUUCUCCGCGAAAUCUAUUGAGGUAGAGCGUCGGAUGAAUACCUUGGGGGGUAGAGCACUGGAUGGAUGCGGGGGUCGCGAGAUCUACCAAUUCUAACCAAACUCCGAAUACCCAAGAGUAAUAUCCGGCAGACAGACGGCGGGUGCUAAGGUCCGUCGUCAAAANGGAAACAGCCCUGACCUACNGCUAAGGUCCCCAAGUCACGUCUAAGUGGGAAAGCAUGUGGGAACCCCAAAACAACCAGGAGGUUGGCUUAGAAGCAGCCAU